Molecule: long non-coding RNA, 683 nt
Filed under: Brassica napus (rape)
Lineage: Eukaryota; Viridiplantae; Streptophyta; Magnoliopsida; Brassicales; Brassicaceae
Description: long non-coding RNA (BNAP_LNC006880)
Source: RNAcentral
CCAUUUUGAUCAAAUUAAAUGAACCAUACGUUAACAGGAAAAAUAUAUUGGGGCACAUAUGUGUAGUUGGCAAGAAAAAUAUUGAGUAAUAUAUAACAACAAGAACACAUGACCCGCAUAAAGCUGAGGAAAGACAACGGAGACAAUAAAUAUGUUAUUUGAGCUAUAUGAUCUCCUUUUCAUGCCUUCAUUAUCAUCCAUAUAUAAUUCUCUUAGUUGAUGAUUACUCGUGCGAACAAAGAAGCAUAUAAAUACAUUUUCCAAUAAUGUAGAACCUUCCUCUCUUCUUUUUCAGAAACUUCCCAACUAGUUUUGGUGAAGACGGCUUCUUCUUCUUCUCCCAAUUCUUCACUGUCUCAUCCUUUGAGUUCUCCAUCACUGUUUCUCUCUCUAUAUAUAUAUAGAAGUUUUUUGUUUCUUUUAUUGUGAGGUUUUGUUGCAACUUGAUGAUUGUGUUAUAUUUAAAAGGAAGUGAGGGGUUCAUCAUUAUAUUGGAGCGAGAGCGAAAGGGAGAUAAGGAGAAAGUAUUCCACACCAUUGAUUCGAGGCCCUUCAACGAAACAACACAAAAACAAAGGCCACUUGUGGAGUGUGACCGACUAGCUUCCCAUUAUUGUUGAAAAUAUUUGAUGCAUGUAUUUGUUUUCUUGUCUCCUUUCAGUUCAAAAAGAUCUAUAUUUGAU